GUAUCUGAAGUCUGACGAGGAUGAGAACCUCCGGGGGCAAGAGGUUCGAUUCGAGCGAAGCGAGAGAACGUUGCGUCAGCAACGGCCCGCAGGGCGAGCCACGCAGUGGCGAGUCAUCCUCUGUCACCGGCAG
RNAcentral lists this small RNA (133 nucleotides) under Salmonella enterica. RNAcentral's name for it is "RtT sRNA". It matches the Rfam family "RtT RNA". Rfam says of the family: This family represents a bacterial cis-regulatory element known as RtT RNA. The exact function of RtT is unknown although it is thought that it may be involved in changing the cellular response in relation to amino acid starvation. Lineage: Bacteria; Pseudomonadati; Pseudomonadota; Gammaproteobacteria; Enterobacterales; Enterobacteriaceae. The record is from RNAcentral.